UUUUUUUUUCUCCUUUUCCUCAUUUUUUUUUUCUUUUUCCUCUUUUUCGCCUCAUUUUUCUCCUUUUCCCUCUUUUUUUUUCUCAUCUUUUUCUUCUUUUUCCUUUCUUCUAUUUUCCCUUUUCUCACCCUUUUCUUCUUUUUCUUCUUUUUUCUCCCUCUUUUCUUUUUUUCUGUUUUUUCAUCUUUUUUUCUCUCUCUCCUCUUUUUCCUUCUUCCUUUUUUCUUUUUCACUUUUUCCCCUCUUUUUCUUCUCUUUUUUCUCUUCUCUUUUUUCUUACUUUUUUCUCUUUCCUUUCUUUUUUUCCUCUCUUUUCCUCCUCCUUUUCCUCUUUUCUUUCUCACUUUCCUCUUUUUUCUCUUUUCCACCUUUUUUCCCCUUUUUCCUCUCUUUUAUCUUUUUUCCUCUUUUUUUUUCUUUUUCCUUUUUUCUUUCCUCUUUUUUUCUCCCUUUCUCCUUUUUCUUCUUCUUUUUCCUCUUUUUUCCUCUUUUCCUCUCUUUUUUAUUCUUUUUCCCCUCUCCUUUCUCCUUUUUCAUCCACUGUCCUCUUUGCUCCUCUUUUUUCUUUUUUUCCUUUUUCCUCUUUAUUUUCUUUUUCCUCUCCGUUUUCUUACUUUUUUUCUGCUUUUCCUCUUUUUUCCUCCUUCUUCUCCUCUUUCCUCUCAUUUUUCUUUUUCCUCUUUUCCUCCUUUUUCUCUUUUUCUGUUUUUCAUCUUUUUCCACUUUUUUCCCUUUUUCCUCUUUUUUCUUUUUUCCUCUCUUUCUUCUCUUUUCCAUCUUUUUUUUUUACCUUUUCCUCUCUUUCUUCUUUUUCCUUUCUCCUUUCUCUUUUUUUCUCUUUUUUCUUCAAUUUCCUCUUCUUAUUCUUUUUCCUUUUCUCUUUUCUCCUUUUCUCUCUUUUUCUCUUUUCCUCUUUUUCUUCUACUUUUUCUCUUUCCUCUCUUUUUUAUUUUUCCUCUUUUCCUCUUCUUCCUUUUUCCUCUUUAUCUUCUUUCUUCUCUUUUUAUUUUUUUUCUGUUUUCUCUCCUUUUCCCCUCUUUUUCGUCUUUUUCUUCUCUUUUCCCUCUUUUUCCUCCUCUUUUUCUUUUUUCUUUUUCCUUUUUCCUUCAAUUUCAGAUUCAUGCUCUGCAGCGCAAACUGGAAAAAUUCAUCUUAAACUGCUAAAAUCAGGCAGGUCGAGACCUUUCUGUUAACAAUCCUCCACUCCAUCCUUGAAAUCGAAAGUAGUGAAGGAUUUUGCAGAAAAUAAUGGAUCAUUUUCCCAUUUACCCACGAUUCAAGGAUUAAUAACUAAUCCCAUCAAAGGACAUCUGCUUAGAUUGUUCCUUGUCAGUGAAAGUAAAUAGAGCCUUUUAGUCUUUAGACCUGAACUCCUCUGAGGUCAUUAUGCCGAGGGAACCUCCUACCAGUGGCUGCUUUCUCUUUCACUCCUGCUGUGCCCAACCCUGGAGGGAGAAAGCAAACUUUGCUGGUCCUGAACAUAAAGGUUACGUGCUGGAACGGGGCAGGCCUUUGCAAGAGGCCAAUAAGCUGAGACCCUGCUGUCCCCAUGGGAUGGGUGAGGGCAGGAGCUGCAGCUCACACUGCCCUGCUGCUGCACAGGGUGCCCCCAGCCCAAGCUCCACCAUUUGGAACACGGCUGAGCAUCUCCUCCACCAAUACCAGCUGUGGGUUUUGCACUUUGCUUUGGGAAACCUUCCUGGGAGAGAGAUACAGACAGAAAGAAAUGCUGCUCGACCCUCUCCUUCAUGCAUGAAAUAUAGGAGGGAUCCCGACGUGGGGCCCCGACCCCAAACCAAUGCCAGCUCUGAGCUAUGGAGGGGAACUUUUGGAGCCAGGGGGGGUUUUAGGCUGUGACCCCACUGUGCCAACCUCCAUGGCUGGUAAGGCAGGUGCUGGCUCAGACGAAGCAAACAAUUGCAGCAGAGCCAGUGGGAGUUCAAAAGGAGCGGCGCUGAAUGAAAUGAUGGCAAUUUCCCUUAUUUACAGCCGCUUGAAGGUGCACGCUGGGAAUGUUUAGAUAUCCUUGUUAUCCCCUCCGAUACCUAGGGAACGUUAUUUUUAAUGAGCAGGGCUGUAAUCAGGCCGCAUUCGUGCCAGGCAUCCCUUACAAACAAACGCCGUUCUCCAAAAGGACCUUCCAGAUUCCAGGUCCCAUCCAAAACCAUUUUUAAGGCUGAAGAAAAGGCAACUGCCCUCCGGAGAGCUCUGGGCAGUUGGAUGAGCUGGGAGGUGCUGCGGACACUGCGCCCGAUUUGAUGAGGUCAGAGCUCCUUUCAGUGUGGAGAAGGAGCUUCGUUUUAUUUGUGUCACUCAGCAUUUGGGGAUGAAGUGGGAAUGAGGAUAAUGCCGCAUUCUGGGCUGUGGUGGUGUGGUAGAAAUGAAUUUGUUUUCAGGCUCCAGCCCCUUCCCCUGCGAAGCUCAGCACGGGUGCUCGGAAUGCAUUUAGCUGUGGUUUGGCCUUUUGGUUGAACUGUAGUGUCCAUUGCAGCUGGGAAAACCUUGCUGGGGACAAGCAGGAGGGAAGCAUGAGGUUGAGGAUGUGUCCGUGCCCUUCCAUUCUUGGCUGGAAUGGAGCAGAGCACGCAGUGCUGGAGGCUGCCAUGAACAGCACAGCCCUGCAACCCCGCGGAUGGCUCUGGGGCAUCAUGGCUCUGUCCUUCAGUGCACAACUGCUUGCUUGAAAGCACUUUUUUGGGGGAUGCAUUUUUACCCUCUGCGAUAGUGGAAGGGUGGCGUUGUUUGGCCCACGUGGAGCAAAAAUGCCUGCAGGAUUCCCACUGCUUACGGAAAAAGGGCAGCGCACGGAGUAGGUGUUAAUAACUCACCCAAAUCCAGACCCUUCUCCCUCUCCCCCAAAUCCACCGAGCCGCUCACACGCCCGUGCUCCGAAUUCUGAUGGGAUUUCAAACAAAACCUGCGUGCUGCUGCCACGGCAUCAGCAAUGGGAGCCGUUGGAAGCAGCGGUGGGUGCGUGGAAAAGAAGUGCACACCUCGGUACAAACACUUCAAAAGCCAAAAAAUCGUAUUGGAGCCAUCGGAGGCGUUUCUUACAGAGCCCAAACGUCUCCCAAAUGGAGCCUCUCUGAGCUGGCAGGCAAAAAAAAUGCGGAAUUUUGCCCUAAAAAAUCCCAGGCUGCUCCAUGCCAGGGCCCCGCACUCAUUCAGCUGGGUUGAAACAGAGCUCUGUGCACGCACCUGGAAUGCACCCAUGCAUUCACCCCCUCCUGAAGCACACAGCCCCUUCAACGCAGCCCUCUGCCCUGUGCGGACCCGAGGGGGGGGGGGGGGGGGGGGGGGGGGGGGGUCUCCGUGCAUUGCAAAACCCCCAUAGGAACGCCAAUAUAGGGGCACCCAUCAGCUCCACAACGAGCGAUGCAUUUCGCCGUGCAAAAAAGAAAAUAGAGCCCAGCGCUGGGUGCGCUUCGGGGCAGAGCGGAGGCGUCGCUUUGUGUUUUGAUCGCGUCCUUCCUUUCCUUCUUUGUUCAAAUGCGUAUCUGUGUUUUGCGUCGUCUCAAAAAGUGCUUUGAAGCCACGCGGGAGAGCUGCGCUGCGGGCUCUGCUCUGCGGGAGGGCGGUGCGGGCUCUGCCGGUGGUGGUGCCCAUAGAGCCCGCAGUGCGUGGGGCGGUGGGGGUCUCCCCAUUACGGGACACGGAAAAUUGCGGUGUUCAGGGGUGAAAUCCUCUUCGAUUAUCAGAGAUAUCACCACCCCCACCCCCCCACCCCACCCCCCUCCGGCUCCUCG
RNAcentral lists this long non-coding RNA (3746 nucleotides) under Gallus gallus (chicken). Its description in RNAcentral is "lncRNA (ENSGALG00010028835.1)". Lineage: Eukaryota; Metazoa; Chordata; Aves; Galliformes; Phasianidae. The record is from RNAcentral.